GACGAACGCUGGCGGCGUGCUUAACACAUGCAAGUCGAACGGAAAGGCCCUGCUGUUGUGGGGUGCUCGAGUGGCGAAAGGGUGAGUAACACGUGAGUAACCUGCCCUUGACUUUGGGAUAACUUCAGGAAACUGGGGCUAAUACCGGAUAGGAGCUCCUGCUGCAUGGUGGGGGUUGGAAAGUUUCGGCGGUUGGGGGUGGACUCGCGGCUUAUCAGCUUGUUGGUGGGGUAGUGGCUUACCAAGGCUUUGACGGGUAGCCGGCCUGAGAGGGUGACCGGCCACAUUGGGACUGAGAUACGGCCCAGACUCCUACGGGAGGCAGCAGUGGGGAAUAUUGCACAAUGGGCGGAAGCCUGAUGCAGCAACGCCGCGUGCGGGAUGACGGCCUUCGGGUUGUAAACCGCUUUCGCCUGUGACGAAGCGUGAGUGACGGUAAUGGGUAAAGAAGCACCGGCUAACUACGUG
Molecule: ribosomal RNA, 468 nt
Filed under: uncultured bacterium
Lineage: Bacteria
Description: partial 16S ribosomal RNA
Rfam family: Bacterial small subunit ribosomal RNA
Source: RNAcentral